UGACCUACCUUGAAGUGAGGGAUACCGGCGAGAAAUCGCCGACAAUCCCGCAUAGGUUUCUUUGUUCGAGAGGAAGAGAGAAACAAAGCUUUCUUCGCGAGAAGAGGGCGCUUUGAGAUGGGCCCGCGGCCGAUUAGCUAGUUGGUGGGGUAAAAGCCUACCAAGGCUGCGAUCGGUAGCUGGUCUGAGAGGACGAUCAGCCACACUGGGAUUGAGGACGGCCCAG
RNAcentral lists this ribosomal RNA (226 nucleotides) under uncultured bacterium. RNAcentral's name for it is "partial 16S ribosomal RNA". It matches the Rfam family "Bacterial small subunit ribosomal RNA", at positions 122 to 334 of the family's 1533-position model. The record is from RNAcentral.